GACGAGGUGGCCGAGUGGUUAAGGCGAUGGACUGCUACUCACAGUCUACGCGUGGGUUCGAAUCCCACCCUCGUCG
Molecule: non-coding RNA, 76 nt
Organism: Tachyglossus aculeatus (Australian echidna)
Lineage: Eukaryota; Metazoa; Chordata; Mammalia; Monotremata; Tachyglossidae
Source: the annotation of a RefSeq genome assembly